AUUUGUAAGACAGCCUGAUAUAACUGGGUAAAUCACAAUGUGUUCUGGUACAAUAGCUUGAGAAAUAGCAGCAAUUGAGUCAUUCAGGUGUUUUUUUGUUUAUUUGUUUGUUGUGAAAUUGGUCAGUUGCAAAAAGCAGAGUCAUCACUUGGAGCACAGUUUACAAGUGACAUGAGCUCCCAUAUCUUACCCUCAACACAUCCAGCCAAGGUGAAACUGGCUGGAACUUAAGGGAGAUGUGGUGAUUUCAAUGAGAGAAAUUAUGCUGAUCCUAAGUACUUUAGUUACGGUCUUACAGAGAAACAGAAUCAAUAGGAUAAUUUCUCUGUCUCUCUGUCUCUCUCUCUCUCUCUCUCUCUCUCUCUCCCUCUCCCUCAAUCUAUCUAUCUAUGAGUAUAUUUAUUAUGGCAAUUGGCUCAUAUGCUUAUGUAGGCUGAGAAGUUCCAUCAUCUGCCGUCUGCAGGCUGGAGAAUCAGGAAAGGUGGUGGUGUAAUUCAGUCUGAGUCUGAAGACCUGAGAACCAAGAGGGAGAGAGAACACAGUUGUAAGUUUUAGAGUCUUAAGGCCUGAGAACCAGCUCUGAUGUCCAAGGAUAGGAGAUGGUGGAUGUUACUCAGUGGACUGGAUGAUGCCUACCCACAUUGGUGAGGGGGAAUCUUCUUUACUUAGGCUACUGAGCCAAAUGUUAGUCUCUUCCAGAAACACCUUUACAGGCACACCCAGAAACAAUGUUCUACCAGCUAUCUGAGCAUCCCUUAGCCCAGUCCAAGUUGACAUACAAAAUUAACAAUCACACCGAGAUACUCAAAACAGAUACAUAGAAGGGAAUAAUUCAGGAACUCAGCAGGCAAUGUUGGAAGGAAAGCUUGGAUUUGGAAGGUAUAAAGUUAUGAGAGAUAAAGAAGCCAUAUGUUUGGGCAAACUUAUCCAUGAAGAACAUAGGAAGAUCAGAUGGCUGAUAGUGGAUCCCUGGGGCACAGCAGCAUUUCAAGGGAGAGCAAAAAGAUGAAUGAAGAGAAAGAACAGCCACCAGGAGGGCAAAGUAUUAAAAGAGGGUAGUGUCUCUAAAUCAAAAUAAACAGUUUCAGACCAGGUGGGGUGGCUCACAGCUGUUAUCCCAACAUUUUGGGAGGCCGAAGUGGGUGGAUCACUUGAGGUCAGGAGUUCAAGACCAACCUGGCCAACAUGGUGAAACCUCAUCUCUACUAAAAAUACAAUUAGCUGGACAUGGUGGUGUGUGCCUGUAAUCCCAGCUACUUGGGAGGCUGAGGCGAGAAUUGCUUGAACCCAGGAGGCAGAGGUCGCGGUGAGCCAAGAUAGUAUCACUGCACUCCAGCCUGGGCGAUAGAGCGAGACUCUGUCUCAAAACAAACAAACGAAAAAACAAAAAAACUGUUUUAAGCAGGAAGAAGUGGCCUACAGUGUAAAUACUACUGAGAAGUAAGAUAAGCAUGUGAAUGUGUUCAGUAGGUAUGUCAACACUGAGGCCACUUGUGACCCUAGGGUCAGGAAAGCAGUGUUGUGGCAUCUUGGAGCAGAAGCCACACUGCAAAGUGUUGGAAAUUAGUGGGAGGAAAGAAAAUUUGGCUGUGAAGGGAAUUAAGAAAAAGGGAGGUAAUUGGAAUGGUAUUUGAGGUUAAAAAUCCCAUUUCUUAUGUUUUAGAGAAUUGAGAGGCCUGAGAUUGAUUAUAUUUAUUGUAAGGGGUCCAGCCUGUGUAUCAGGAGGGGAGAUCAAAUGUACAGGAAAGAGAGUCAGGGACCAAGGGAGCAAGGUCCUGGAGGUGGUGAACCUGUGACCAGAUGAAUGGAGGACCUCCAGAGGCAAGAAGGAAUGCCUACCCCAAUGCCUGGGUUGGUGCGAGGGAAACAAAUGUAGGAAUCGAUUUACAUACAUUUCUGGGAGAGGAUAGAAGAGGGAGAGUACUACAAUGUUUGUUUGUUUGUUUGUUUGUUUUUGUUUUUGUUUUCUGCAAAGAGAAGUUAUGGUUUUCUGCGGAGAAUAAGGGAGAAACUGGAAAUGAAGAAUGUUCUUAAAAGGUCAAAAUCGGCAAUAACCACCAAGGGCAAUGGGAGAGGAAACUAACUAGAUAGGUGGAGCAUGGCACGUACCCCCAACUAAUGUCACAAAGGUGUACUGUUGAACAAAAGAAGGAAGCAGAUGAGAAGCUAUGGAAGCCUCUAGAGCAUUUGGGAGGGAGAAGCAGCAGGCCAUUGGAAUUUCAUUCAUCUACUGGAUUCUCCUUGCCAAGUAAUUUCUGGGAAUUCCUCAGUCUUGCUCACAUGUUGUACUACUCUCUCCUGGAUGUCACUUGUCAACUCUACCAGCCCUCCUUUCUCCAGAUGGCUUCUUCAUAACCACCAGAGCAUGCGUAAGACCAGAUAGCAGUAUCUGAAAAAUUUCUUCAGACAGCUUGGGGAUACUGCAACACAGAAGAGGAUAAUUGACAGGUCAGAAGAGGAUCCUUUCCAAUGAUUUUCCUAAAACAAUGGAAGUGUUUUCCAAAGAGCUUAUAAGGCAUUGUAGGAUCUGGCCUGCCCUGACUCCACUUUACCAGAACCAUCUGCUGCUCUUCUCUCUUGUGUUACUCAAGGUAUUAGCUGCUGUGGCAAAUCAACUCUGAAAUCUCCGUGGCUUAAUACAAGAGAGGUUUAUUUCUUACUCACGCUGGGUGCACUGCCACUUGGUAACAGAGGAGCUAUGGAAACUGGAGACCUAAGCAGAAAUGAGUUCAAUAAUAUUGCUACACUCUAGGACUUUCUCCAAAAUUAACAACAGAACAAAAGUGCAAGGCAGUGAUAACCCAUCUGACAGCAUUUGGGGAGUGUUUGUGAAAGCAAUGGUGAUGGAGGUUUUAAAAGGAUGUCAGAUCAUAUAAGCAAGAAUGUUGAUGAACAUAGCUUGGGACCAAGACGCCUUCAUUUUGAUCCCAAGGCCUGCUGACAAUGUGCUGAAAGGAAAGAGGAUCUUCAAUUUUUUUAAAAACAGGAAUGAUUUGGUGUGUUCGUUCUUAACAAUGGUUAAACAACAUAAAAUGUGAUUCUUAUACUU
Molecule: long non-coding RNA, 3049 nt
Organism: Pan troglodytes (chimpanzee)
Lineage: Eukaryota; Metazoa; Chordata; Mammalia; Primates; Hominidae
Exons: 8
Source: RefSeq, a predicted model, not a curated record